This 507-nucleotide ribosomal RNA is filed under the name Somatochlora alpestris. RNAcentral's name for it is "partial 16S rRNA". It matches the Rfam family "Bacterial large subunit ribosomal RNA", at positions 1819 to 2597 of the family's 2925-position model. Lineage: Eukaryota; Metazoa; Arthropoda; Insecta; Odonata; Corduliidae. The record is from RNAcentral.
GUCCUUUUGAUUUUAUAGAAGGUCUGACCUGCCCAGUGAUUUAUUUUAACGGCCGCGGUAUAUUGACCGUGCAAAGGUAGCAUAAUCAUUAGUCUUUUAAAAGAGGGCUGGAAUGAAAGGUUUGACGAGGUAUUAACUGUCUCAUUUUAUUUGUAUUUAGAAUUUAACUUUUUAGUCAAAAGGCUUAAAUUUAAUUGGAAGACGAGAAGACCCUAUAGAGCUUUAUAUUAAUUAUUUUAGUUAUGAAUAUAUAAUUUUUAAUUAAAUAUAUUAUUAUUUUGUUGGGGUGACAGAAAAAUAAAACUAACUUUUUUAUUUAUUUUACAUUAAUUUAUGGUUAUCUGAUCCAUUAUUAUUGAUUAUUAGAUUAAGUUACCUUAGGGAUAACAGCGUAAUCCCCUCCCAGAGUUCAUAUUUACGAGUGGGGCUUGCGACCUCGAUGUUGGAUUAAGAUAAUAAUUAGGUGUAGCCGCUUAAUUUAUAGGUCUGUUCGACCUUUAAAUUCUU